GUGGGGAAUAUUGGACAAUGGGCGAAAGCCUGAUCCAGUCAUGCCGCGUGUGUGAAGAAGGUCUUCGGAUUGUAAAGCACUUUAAGUUGGGAGGAAGGGCAGUAAGUUAAUACCUUGCUGUUUUGACGUUACCAACAGAAUAAGCACCGGCUAACUUCGUGCCAGCAGCCGCGGUAAUACGAAGGGUGCAAGCGUUAAUCGGAAUUACUGGGCGUAAAGCGCGCGUAGGUGGUUCAGCAAGUUGGAGGUGAAAUCCCCGGGCUCAACCUGGGAACUGCCUCCAAAACUACUGAGCUAGAGUACGGUAGAGGGUAGUGGAAUUUCCUGUGUAGCGGUGAAAUGCGUAGAUAUAGGAAGGAACACCAGUGGCGAAGGCGACUACCUGGACUGAUACUGACACUGAGGUGCGAAAGCGUGGGGAGCAAACAGGAUUAGAUACCCUAGUAGUCC
This 450-nucleotide ribosomal RNA is filed under the name uncultured bacterium. RNAcentral describes it as "partial 16S ribosomal RNA". It matches the Rfam family "Bacterial small subunit ribosomal RNA", at positions 354 to 796 of the family's 1533-position model. The record is from RNAcentral.